Molecule: non-coding RNA, 81 nt
Organism: Rodentibacter myodis
Lineage: Bacteria; Pseudomonadati; Pseudomonadota; Gammaproteobacteria; Pasteurellales; Pasteurellaceae
Source: Rfam
GCAACUUGCAGUUGUUUUAAUAAAAUUGGUUCCUUAGGUUUUGCCCUUCACUUGUUGAAGGGCUUUUUUAUUGCCCAUUCU